CCUACGGGGGGCUGCAGUGAGGAAUAUUGGUCAAUGGACGAGAGUCUGAACCAGCCAAGUAGCGUGAAGGAUGACUGCCCUAUGGGUUGUAAACUUCUUUUAUAUGGGAAUAAAAUGUUCCACGUGUGGGAUUUUGUAUGUACCAUAUGAAUAAGGAUCGGCUAACUCCGUGCCAGCAGCCGCGGUAAUACGGAGGAUCCGAGCGUUAUCCGGAUUUAUUGGGUUUAAAGGGAGCGUAGGUGGAUGGUUAAGUCAGUUGUGAAAGUUUGCGGCUCAACCGUAAAAUUGCAGUUGAAACUGGCAGUCUUGAGUACAGUAGAGGUGGGCGGAAUUCGUGGUGUAGCGGUGAAAUGCGUAGAUAUCACGAAGAACUCCGAUUGCGAAGGCAGUUCACUGGACUGCAACUGACACUGAGGCUCGAAAGUGUGGGUAUCAAACAGGAUUAGAUACCCUUGUAGUC
RNAcentral lists this ribosomal RNA (460 nucleotides) under uncultured bacterium. RNAcentral describes it as "partial 16S ribosomal RNA". It matches the Rfam family "Bacterial small subunit ribosomal RNA", at positions 338 to 795 of the family's 1533-position model. The record is from RNAcentral.